GAACCCAGGACUUCCCAUGUGGGAGGCAGGUGUCCAAUGGCUUGGGCCACGUCGACUUCCAAGAACUUUUUUAAAGACAUGGAUAUACCUGCCACCAUCUCUUGUGACAUCCACUAACAGGAGCUGCAAACCUGGAAAUGGGCACCACCAGUGACUGUGUGUUUUGGAGAACACUCUAGUACCACCACUAUCUCUGGAACAUCGAAGAAAUAAGUUCAUUUUCAAAAACAGCCC
RNAcentral lists this long non-coding RNA (234 nucleotides) under Dasypus novemcinctus (nine-banded armadillo). Its description in RNAcentral is "lncRNA (ENSDNOG00000050184.1)". Lineage: Eukaryota; Metazoa; Chordata; Mammalia; Cingulata; Dasypodidae. The record is from RNAcentral.